CAGUGCCGCGGGAAUACGGAGGGUGCAAGCGUUAAUCGGAAUUACUGGGCGUAAAGCGUGCGCAGGCGGUUAUAUAAGACAGAUGUGAAAUCCCCGGGCUCAACCUGGGAACUGCAUUUGUGACUGUAUAGCUAGAGUACGGCAGAGGGGGAUGGAAUUCCGCGUGUAGCAGUGAAAUGCGUAGAUAUGCGGAGGAACACCGAUGGCGAAGGCAAUCCCCUGGGCCUGUACUGACGCUCAUGCACGAAAGCGUGGGGAGCAAACAGGAUUAGAUACCCCAGUAGUCCCUGUCUCUUAUACA
RNAcentral lists this ribosomal RNA (301 nucleotides) under uncultured bacterium. RNAcentral describes it as "partial 16S ribosomal RNA". It matches the Rfam family "Bacterial small subunit ribosomal RNA", at positions 509 to 808 of the family's 1533-position model. The record is from RNAcentral.